UACGAAGGGGACUAGCGUUGUUCGGAAUUACUGGGCGUAAAGCGCAUGUAGGCGGCCUAGCAGGUCGGAUGUGAAAUCCCUCGGCUCAACCAAGGAAGUGCAUUCGAAACCGCAAGGCUGGAGUCCCGGAGAGGAUGGUGGAAUUCUCGGUGUAGAGGUGAAAUUCGUAGAUAUCGAGAGGAACACCGGCGGCGAAGGCGGCCAUCUGGACGAGGACUGACGCUGAGAUGCGAAAGCGUGGGGAGCAAACAGG
Molecule: ribosomal RNA, 253 nt
Filed under: uncultured bacterium
Lineage: Bacteria
Description: partial 16S ribosomal RNA
Rfam family: Bacterial small subunit ribosomal RNA
Source: RNAcentral